AUUGAACGCUGGCGGCAUGCCUUACACAUGCAAGUCGAACGGCAGCACGGGAGCAAUCCUGGUGGCGAGUGGCGAACGGGUGAGUAAUAUAUCGGAACGUGCCCAGUCGUGGGGAUAACGUAGCGAAAGCUACGCUAAUACCGCAUACGAUCUAUGGAUGAAAGCGGGGGAUCGCAAGACCUCGCGCGAUUGGAGCGGCCGAUAUCAGAUUAGGUAGUUGGUGAGGUAAAGGCUCACCAAGCCGACGAUCUGUAGCUGGUCUGAGAGGACGACCAGCCACACUGGGACUGAGACACGGCCCAGACUCCUACGGGAGGCAGCAGUGAGGAAUAUUGGACAAUGGGCGCAAGCCUGAUCCAGCCCAUGCCGCGUGCAGGAUGACGGUCCUAUGGAUUGUAAACUGCUUUAUACAGGAAGAAACACUCCGACGUGUCGGAGCUUGACGGUACUGUAAGAAUAA
RNAcentral lists this ribosomal RNA (460 nucleotides) under uncultured bacterium. Its description in RNAcentral is "bacterial SSU rRNA". It matches the Rfam family "Bacterial small subunit ribosomal RNA", at positions 30 to 489 of the family's 1533-position model. The record is from RNAcentral.